UACGUAGGGUGCGAGCGUUAAUCGGAAUUACUGGGCGUAAAGCGUGCGCAGGCGGCUUUGCAAGACAGAUGUGAAAUCCCCGGGCUCAACCUGGGAACUGCAUUUGUGACUGCAAGGCUAGAGUACGGCAGAGGGGGAUGGAAUUCCGCGUGUAGCAGUGAAAUGCGUAGAUAUGCGGAGGAACACCAAUGGCGAAGUCAAU
RNAcentral lists this ribosomal RNA (202 nucleotides) under uncultured bacterium. RNAcentral's name for it is "partial 16S ribosomal RNA". It matches the Rfam family "Bacterial small subunit ribosomal RNA", at positions 524 to 725 of the family's 1533-position model. The record is from RNAcentral.